GGAAAGCGCUGAGGAAAGCGUGGAAUGAGCUGGCCGAGUAGCAGGGACCGUCGUUUCUUCGCUGACACAGCAGCGGCGCGGUCAGUAGUCCAGGUGGAAAAACUGAGUGUGGGGUUUGUAUCAAUAUCAUGUAUGAAGAAGAAAAGAUAAAAUUUCUGCUUUGUUCCCAAGCAAUUGUGAUUUCUGUUUCCUGCCAAACAAACAAACAAAAAACCCAGUGAAAGCCAUUUAAAUUGCAGAGGUGAGCCUGGCUCAGUGUCACUGUCCAACAGGAAAGACAAAAAUCGCCAAGGCAUGCCAACUGAAGUACAUCAGGUGCCAGAGGAGUCCGACAGAGGAGACUUUUACCCCGCAGAGUUGCUGGAAUAAUGAGUAGUAAUAUCAUCACUAAAGAGGAAAUUGGAGGAAAUCUCAAGCCAGGAGCCACAGCAAUGACAGAUCAGAACUGAGUAAGAAAACAUUAUCUUGGAUUCUGAAGGAGAGUUGAAUUGGCACGGCAUGGCUUAAAUAACCAAGAGAAAUGCUGAAAAUGCAGUUUUCCUGCUCACAUGUUCAAAGUUAAGCAGAAGUAAAGCCCAUGAAUAUACUUGGCAGAGUAGCAACCCCUGGACAACUUUUCAGCUAGAUAAACUAGGUGAGUGCUGUCUGCAGGUGAAUUCAGUAUGUAUUUUACCAACAGUAAAUAACUAACAGUAAAUAACUAACAGUAAAUAAGUAAAUAACUUCAUUGAGUCCUGCCUAUUUGAUCAUAUAUCAAUUUUUUUUCACAUUAAACAUUAUCCAGGCUGGAUGGUAAUCAUAAGCUGCCACACAGUUCUGAAGAAAAUUAAGAAAAUGUAUAACCUAUGUAUAAGGCAAAUGCUUGCUUUUCAGUUACCAUGUGCAUGAGUUCUGAUUUUCUUGUUCCAAAAAAAUUUGAAGAGUCAAAUGGAAUUUCCAAGAAAAUUUCAGUAGGAAGAACUUAGUUAAUUGGAAUAUGUGGGUCUCAACAAUCAAAAUUUUCCCUUGUGUCCAUUUCUCUGAGCCCCUAUGGCUGAUCUCAGCUGCUAUCCAUGGCACCCAGCAAGAUGGAAGUCUGCAGUGGGACAGAGACAGCAAGGCAAAAGGGGCCUGAGCCUGCAUGUCCAGCCAUGCACACCAGGGAGUUACUUGCCUUCUUCAUUUACUUUAAGAAUGUGAAAUUAUUCUUAGAUUCAAGUACAUCUUGUCAAGAUUCUAGUCCUCAAACAUCUGGAAAUAAAACACAGCAAGAUUACCACAGAAGUGUGGGAGAGAUGUGCGAGCUCUUUACUUAUUCAUACUCCUUCAAACCCUUUGAUCUGUUUCAGUUCCCCUGUUUUUAUAUGUAUAUAAUGAAGUUUACAAACCAUGAAUUGUGAACAGAACUGUGCAAUUUGUGUAUCAUUGAUCUAUCACUAACACUCAGGAUAGUCCUUUUUACCACAAGUGAGAAAUAAACACUUUUCAUUACA
Molecule: long non-coding RNA, 1472 nt
Organism: Passer domesticus (house sparrow)
Lineage: Eukaryota; Metazoa; Chordata; Aves; Passeriformes; Passeridae
Exons: 3
Source: RefSeq, a predicted model, not a curated record